Molecule: RNA transcript, 4003 nt
Organism: Malania oleifera
Lineage: Eukaryota; Viridiplantae; Streptophyta; Magnoliopsida; Santalales; Ximeniaceae
Gene name: MDIS1-interacting receptor like kinase 2-like
Exons: 3
Source: RefSeq, a predicted model, not a curated record
GCAUUCCAAUCCUAACCACCCAUCCAUUUUUAUAUAUUCCCAGCAAUCAUAUAUAUAUAUAUAGGAAAACCAAUGACCACCCACCCCUGGCUUCUUUCCUUCCUUCUCUUGUUCCUCCUCAUCCACCUCCUCCUUCUUGCAUCCCCUCCUCCUCCUUCCCAUCAUGUUGCUCUUGUUUCUGCUUUAGUCACCACUACUUCUGAAACAAAUGCUUUGGUGGCAUGGAAGGCGAGUCUUGACAACCACAGCCGAUCUAUUUUGUCCUCUUGGGUUGGAACCGACCCUUGCAAUCGAUGGAUUGGAAUUGAGUGUCACAAGUUCAUAAGGAGCAUUGCAUAUGUAAACCUCACAAGCCUUGCUUUGAGAGGUACGCUCCAUAGUUUUAAUUUCUCGUCCUUCCAACACCUCCAAAAGCUUGAUCUUAACAACAACUUCCUCUUCGGAAACAUUCCCUCCAAUCUAGGAAUGCUUAAGUCUCUCAAUCUCCUUGAUUUGUCAGUUAACAAGCUCACAGGACCAAUCCCAACUACUAUAGGAGACUUGGGCGACUUGACCACUUUGUACCUUCAUCAUAACAUGCUUUCUGGAUCUAUUCCUCGAGAGAUAGGAAUGCUUAAGUCUCUCAUUGUUCUUUCAUUGUCAUUUAACAAUCUCACAGGUUUAAUUCCAAGUUCGAUAAGAAAUUUAAAAAAAUUGACCACUUUGUACCUUGCGGCAAAUGAACUGACUGGAUGCAUCCCACAAGACAUUGGGCAAUUAAGUUCUCUUAUUAGCCUCCAAAUGGCUAGUAACCAUCUCACAGGGCCAAUCCCAACUACAAUAGGAGACUUGGGCAGCUUGACUAUCUUGUACCUUUAUAACAACAUGCUUUCUGGAUCUAUUCCUCAAGAGAUAGGAAUGCUUAAGUCUCUCAAUGACCUUGAUUUGGCAUUUAACAACCUCACAGGGCCAAUCCCAACUACUAUAGGAUACUUGGACAACUUAAACACCUUGAAACUUUUUUACAACAAACUCACGGGUACCAUUCCAACUGCAAUUGGAAAUUUUACUAAGCUCACCUCCCUAUCGCUGCAAGAAAAUCUAUUAUCAGGCCUACUCCCUCCAGAAAUAGGGAAAUUGAAGUCUCUUCAAGAGUUAUACUUGUUUGCGAACAAAUUUUAUGGCUCCAUUCCUCGAGAGAUGAAUAAUCUUACACAUUUGAGGGUAGUGGAUUUAUCUAAUAACAAUUUUGUUGGCCAUUUUCCAAAAAAUACAUGCCUUGGUGGUUUGCUUGUGAAGUUUCUUAUAGAAGGUAACCAUUUCAGGGGUUCCAUUGCAAAAAUUUUAAGGAACUGUACUACCCUAGUUAGGGUUAGACUUGAUAGGAAUCAGUUCACUGGAAACAUAUCAGAACAUUUUGGCAUAUACCCAAAUUUAAAUUAUAUUGAUUUGAGCAACAAUAAAUUCUAUGGUGAGCUUUCUCAUAAGUGGGGGCAAUGCUAUAGAAUGACGGCCCUAAAACUCUCCAACAAUAAAAUUUCAGGUGAGAUUCCUCAUGAACUUGGCGAAGCUACAAAACUACAAGUGCUUGACCUCUCCUCAAAUAACCUUGUUGGGACGAUCCCAAAGGAACUUGGGAGAUUGACAUCAAUGGCAUACCUUUUGCUAGACAACAACAAGCUUUCAGACACUAUUCCAUUAGAAAUUCUAAUGCUUUCAAGUCUAGAAAGUCUUAGCAUGGCAUCAAAUAACCUAAGUGGCUUAAUUCCCAAAGAAAUAGGUGAGUAUCCAAGAUUGUGGAUGUUGAAUAUGUCUAAUAAUAGAUUUGAAGGAACUUUGCCAUUUCAAAUUGGCAAGUUGAAAUUUCUGCAAUUUCUUGAUCUAAGCAUGAAUUUGUUGGUUGGAGUGAUACCACAACAGGUUGGCGAAUUGAAUAAGUUGGAAACAUUGAAUCUCUCCCACAAUGGAUUCUCCGGUUCAAUUCCAUCCACCUUUGAUGAUCUCAUUGCUUUGACAUCUGUCGACGUAUCCUACAAUAAGCACUUAGAGGGCCCUAUUCCUACGGCUAAGCCCUUUCAAAUUGCUCAAAUUGAUUCCUAUAGAAACACAAGCUUAUGUGGUAGUGUCCUAGGUUUGGAGGCUUGUCCCUCUACGAUGAGCCACAUUUCUCAUGAAAAAAAGGGAAACAAAAUCAUGAUCUUGACUACAGUCUUCAUAAUGGCAAUAGUAUUUUUCAUACUCAUUAUAGUUGGAGUUUUUUUUCUCCUUGGUUCUAGAGAAAAGAAAAUGGAUAACCAACCAAGGGAAAUGCAAAAUGAAAAUAUUUUUGCAGUCUGGAGGUAUGACGGGAUGAUGGUUUACGAACAAAUAGUCGAAGCGACAGAGGGAUUUAAUUCUAAGUAUUGCAUUGGAGUAGGAGGAUAUGGAGUUGUUUACAAAGCGAAGUUGCCUAGCACUGGCCAAGUUGUUGCCGUGAAGAAACUUCAUCCUUUACAAGAUGACGAGUCCAUGGACAAUUCAAAAGCUUUUGAAAGUGAGGUUCGAGCAUUGACGGAAAUAUGCCAUUGAAACAUUGUGAAGCUUUAUGGGUUUUGCUCACAUGUAGAGCAAUCCCUUCUUGUUUACCAGUUUGUAGAGAGAGGGAGCUUGGGGAAGAUGCUAAGCAAUGGUAAUCGAGAACAAGCAAUGGAGUUGAACUGGAGUAGGAGGGUAAAUGUGGUGAGAGGAAUUGCAAAUGCUUUGUCCUACAUGCACCAUGAUUGUUCACCCCCCAUAAUUCAUCGUGACAUAUCCAGUGACAAUGUUUUGUUGGAUUUGGAGUACGAAGCUCAUGUGUCUGAUUUUGGGACUGCUAGGCUUUUAAAGCCUGAUUCCUCCAAUUGGAGUUCACUGGCUGGGACAAUUGGAUACACAGCUCCAGAGCUUUCCUAUACGAUGAAAGUGACAGAGAAGUGUGAUGUUUAUAGCUUUGGAGUAGUGUCAAUGGAAGUAAUUAUGGGAAGGCAUCCAGGUGAUCUCAUCUCAUCUCUACCAUUCUCCUCGUCAUCACCAUCAACAUCAUCAUCAUUAUCCACUCACCAUGUACUGUUGAAAGAUGUGGUAGACCAAUGUCUAUCACCUCCUACAAAUAAACUUGCAAAUGAAGUGGUCUGGAUUGUGAAGCUAGCAUUUGCAUGCUUGUACACUAAUCCUCAAAUUCGACCAACAAUGCGACAAGUUUCACAGAAAUUAUCAGUUAAAAAGCCACCUCUGCAAAAGUCAUUCUCCACACUUACACUGGAUAACAUCUUGGUGACAGAUAUCUAACUAGGUAGCUAUCAAUAUCAACCUCACAUCAAUAUAAUUUUCUCUAUGAAAUUUUAUUGAUCUUACAUGUCAUAAUAACCAAAAUGUCCACGCUACAUGUAUCCUAAAUUUGGAUAUGAUUUAGGGGGAUUUCAUGUUGGUUUUCAAUUUAUAGAUAUUGUAGCUCAAAGUACUUGAGCAAUGGUGAUAUCAAGCAACAAGGAGGAUGACUUGAAGGAUUUUUUUUGCGGAGCUUGCUUACACAGUGGAAGCGACAAGGAAGUGUGAUGUUUAUAGCUUUGGAGUCAUAUCAGCGGAAGCAACUAUGGGAAUGAACUUGGGCAAUCUCAUCUCAUCCCUAUUGUUGUUGUCUGCUCAUCAUAUACUGCUGAAGGAUGUGAUACAAUAACACCUAUCAUUGCUUGCGAGUGAGAUUGAAGAUAAAGUGGCUCUGUUGUGAAACUAGCAUUUGCCUGUUUUCUCCGUAGUCCUCGAUAUCAACUAAAAUGUGACAAAUUUCCCAAAAAUUCACAAUUGGAAGGCCAUCAUUGUGCACUUCAUUCUCCAUAGUUACAUGGGUGAUUGCUUAGAUGCAAGUACCCAACUGGGUGAACUUUCGCAGACAUAUUUGUUUCUUUUCUUAUUUCCAUUGUUUUUACUUUUGUUCUCCAUUGUAAUCUGCUUCUCUAUUUGCAUUGCGAGGGCUAUUUUAAUUGUUGGAUUGUUUGUUUGAUCUUUU